Non-coding RNA from Misgurnus anguillicaudatus (oriental weatherfish), 2352 nucleotides. The record is from RefSeq and is a predicted model, not a curated record. NCBI's taxonomy places the organism in Eukaryota, Metazoa, Chordata, Actinopteri, Cypriniformes, Cobitidae.
CUUCAUGACCACUACACAGCAAAAUCACCAGUGUUAAAUUUUCAGGGAUGGUGUUAAAUACACAGUGUUGAUGCUGUUUUAACACUAUCUGGUAAUAAAAUAACACUGCCAUUGCUAGGCCAGUGUUAUAUCCACGACAGUGUCAGUGUAAAACAAGGGUGUUACCAGAUUUCACACUGAGCGGUGUAAAUCAAGCCACGCCUCCACUAAACAUUUCCUGUCAGGGAUUUUACCGCCAUUUUCUUUCAAAGGAGGACUGAAGAGAGCAGGUAAAUCUCAUAAUAUUCACAUGGUUUAGCUAAAUUAAACUGUUAUUUCUCUGUCUGACUCUACGCAGCCAUUUGCCAAAAAACCUAAAUAUUUUUCCCAUUUUAUUUCCCCUUUGUUCGUUAUUUGGUUCAGUUUAAUCAGAGCUACCUUGUGUUACGUUGUUCCCUUGUUAGUUUGGUAUAAAGUUAAACUGCUAGCUAAAAGUUUUAACCAAGAAGGAUAAUAUUAACAGGAGAUAUGAAUGAAUGUAAGAAUUGAACCAUGAUAAAACGCGACAUGCACUACAAAUUGAAGGUAUGAAAUUAAGUUAAAUGAAAGCUCGUUUAUUCACCAUAUGAUGCUCGUUAUGAGGUAAUCAUAUAGGCUAGAUACCGUGAGUUAACGAGGUCGUUUACAUGCACGUGAGUGCACGGAUAUCGGUUAAUUAUUCAAAUUACUGAAAAACACGGAGAAAACCGCAACCGCAUCGUCAUGUGUUUUUUUUUAGAUGUAUGCAAACAGGGAAAAUAUCGCCAAACCAACAAUUCAUUUUACCUCAGAAUAUGCACAGAUUGGAUGCAUUGUGUGUUGUAAGCUUUUCGUGGCGCUAGAUGUCAGACAGAUGCAAAUAGCAAAUACAUACGAAAGUGUAAAACGUGUAUGGCAAACAUUUGUUUUUCUGUCAUUAUAGAUGCUAGUUUGGUGAAAGUACACACUGAGUGCUUAAAAUCAUUCAGAAGAGAUGCUGUUUUUAGGGCAGUUUAUUAAAGAAGACCUGACAUGGAUGACUUCCAAUGAGAAACGACUGCUAAUACUUAUAUAAAUUCAUUACAGAAGGACCCUACCAGACUAUAUUUGAAUACGGCAUACCCGUGAAUUCUGGAACUGUUAUUCCUUAACCCAGUUUGGAGGAUAACAGCUUACUACUAGUUAUAAAUAUGCUGAGGUGAUGUAUUGCAAAAUAGCCAACAUACAACAAUUAAAGGAUAAUUGCAGACUAUAUCCUGAUGAAGAUAUGGAUGACCCUCUGUCUGGUCAACAGGAGUUUAAAUAUGGACGGGACAGUGAUGUGGCAGCUCUUCCCUGGCUCAUUCACCUCUUGCCUUCAUUUGUGAAAGGAGGAAAGACUGGAGAGGGUCAAUGUGCAACUGAAGCUACUGAUUGUGCUGUGUGAUGAGCAUCAAUCCAUGCUUUGAGGUGGAUGGAUCAGCACCGCCCUGCCUGAUCUGCGUUGGGAACAAAAGUUGCAUCCAGAAUUUUUGCAUCAUUCUGGACCAAAAAGCCAUUCCCUGCAUGAUGAAGACCACUGAUGCAGCCUUCCACUACAUCAUGAGUAAAACAACUACAGAACUUAAUACCAGGUUGGAACGUAUUUAAGAAAAAUGAAUUGUCUUUUGAAUUGAAAUGUCUGUUUUGUUAUGGAAAAAUCUUUAGUAUUGUGAAGGAUAAGCAUUUCUGCUUGCCGAUAAGGUAAUUGCGAUGUAUUUUAAUGUUCAAGUUUUGAGUAGGGUGGCUAAUUUUUUUUAACUGUCAUUUGAUUUAUUAAAGACCAUAAUAAGUGGUUUUCAUGUCACUGCGCUGUGGUAUAAGAUAACUUUCAUUAUUCCGUACUGUAUUCUGUUUCUAAUUGUAGCUGAGGUAUUUAAAUAAGCAGUGUUAAAUGCAAAGUGUUGUGUGUAUCAAUGUAAAUAUUAAAUGUGAUUUACUUUAAUAAAAAGAGGUUUUGCAAUAUUUCUUGUCAUUUUUCUUUUAUAGAAACAACCCAUUAGCAACAAAAGUGGCUAUUACUCAGUAUUUUAACACUUAACAUUGUUGAAUUCACAUUACACUGGUGUUGACCUUAAAUUAGGAGUGUUAAUUUUUAACACUGUAUUUCUGUGCCAACACCAGUGUAGUGUGGAAACAACAAUGAAUAGUGUUGAACAAAGUGUAAAAUUUAACAAUAUUGAGUGUUAAAUUAACAUAUAAUGGGUGUUGUUAAAUUAACACUACACUUUUGACUAAAUUAACACAGUGUAGUGUGGACACAUAUACACACUUUGCCGGUGUUAAAUUUGACACCGUGGGUGUUAUUUUAACACCAGUGAUUUUGCUGUGUACAAG